Molecule: ribosomal RNA, 79 nt
Filed under: uncultured bacterium
Lineage: Bacteria
Description: partial 16S ribosomal RNA
Source: RNAcentral
AUGCGUACGGGUUCUGAGGAGGAACGGUCCCCACACUUGGGUACUGAGACACGGACCAGACUCCUACGGGAGGCAGCAG